AAUGAACGCUGGCGGCGCGCCUAAUACAUGCAAGUCGAGCGAGAAGACGUAGCAAUACGUUUGUAAAGCGGCGAACGGGUGAGGAAUACAUGGGUAACCUACCCUAGAGUGGGGAAUAACUAGCCGAAAGGUUAGCUAAUACCGCGUACGCUCCUUGGACUUCGGUUCAGGGAGGAAAGCGAUGCCGAGGGUAUCGCGCUCUUGGAUGGGCUCAUGUCCUAUCAGCUUGNGGUGAGGUAACGGCUCACCAAGGCUUCGACGGGUAGCUGGUCUGAGAGGACGAUCAGCCACACUGGCACUGCGACACGGGCCAGACUCCUACGGGAGGCAGCAGUAAGGAAUAUUGCGCAAUGGGCGAAAGCCUGACGCAGCGACGCCGCGUGGGGGAUGAAGGUCUUCGGAUUGUAAACCCCUUUCAGCAGGAACG
RNAcentral lists this ribosomal RNA (427 nucleotides) under uncultured bacterium. Its description in RNAcentral is "bacterial SSU rRNA". It matches the Rfam family "Bacterial small subunit ribosomal RNA", at positions 29 to 447 of the family's 1533-position model. The record is from RNAcentral.